UUCUAAUAACACAAGGUCUUGGUCUUAAACCUCCAGUUGUCUAAGCCCCUUACUUAUACAUGCAAGCCUCAACACGACAGUGAAAUAGCCCACUACAACAACUUAACGGAGCUGGUAUCAGGACAUCGCCAAUAACACCAAGCACAUAAGCCACACCCCCACGGGCCAGCAGCAGUACUUAAUAUUAGGCUAUAAGCGCAAGCUCGACCUAAUAAAGGAGCUCACAGGGCCGGUUAAUCUCGUGCCAGCGACCGCGGUUACACGACAGACCCAAGACAACAUCAACGGCGUAAAGCACGACUAAAACAUAAGUUACCAUAUUAGGGGUAAAGACAAGCCGGGCUGUAAAAAGCCAUAAGCCACACUAAACAUACUCACCCUAAUACCCAAACAACUUCAACUCGUGAAAGCCAGGACACAAACUAAGAUUAGAUACCCUACUAUGCCUGACCAUAACAAAACAAUUAAAUAACUAAUUGUUCGCCAAAUAACUACGAGUAAAAACUUAAAAUUUAAAAGACUUGACGGUACUUCACAUCAACCUAGAGGAGCCUGUCCAAUAACCGAUGAUCCACGAUUAAACCUACCCACCCUAGCCCAACAGCCUAUAUACCGCCGUCGCCAGCUUACCUUGUGAAAGAAAUAAAGUAAGCCUGAUAGUCCACCACUAAUACGACAGGUCGAGGUGUAGCUAAUGAGUGGGACCAAGAUGGGCUACAUUUUCUUAUACAGAAAAAACGAAUCAGUCUAUGAAAUUAGAAACCGAAGGCGGAUUUAGCAGUAAGAUGGAAAUAGAUAUACCCAACCGAAACUAAUGCAAUGAAGUGCGCACACACCGCCCGUCAUCCCUGUAAAACAUAUAACUUUUACAUUAACCUACCCCCAUACUAAAACAGGGCAAGUCGUAACAUGGUAAGCGUACUGGAAAGUGCGCUUAG
This 938-nucleotide non-coding RNA is filed under the name Suta monachus (monk snake). The record is from RNAcentral. Lineage: Eukaryota; Metazoa; Chordata; Lepidosauria; Squamata; Elapidae.